Molecule: ribosomal RNA, 974 nt
Filed under: Staphylococcus aureus
Lineage: Bacteria; Bacillati; Bacillota; Bacilli; Caryophanales; Staphylococcaceae
Description: partial 23S ribosomal RNA
Rfam family: Bacterial large subunit ribosomal RNA
Source: RNAcentral
UUUGUAGAAUGAACCGGCGAGUUACGAUUUGAUGCAAGGUUAAGCAGUAAAUGUGGAGCCGUAGCGAAAGCGAGUCUGAAUAGGGCGUUUAGUAUUUGGUCGUAGACCCGAAACCAGGUGAUCUACCCUUGGUCAGGUUGAAGUUCAGGUAACACUGAAUGGAGGACCGAACCGACUUACGUUGAAAAGUGAGCGGAUGAACUGAGGGUAGCGGAGAAAUUCCAAUCGAACCUGGAGAUAGCUGGUUCUCUCCGAAAUAGCUUUAGGGCUAGCCUCAAGUGAUGAUUAUUGGAGGUAGAGCACUGUUUGGACGAGGGGCCCCUCUCGGGUUACCGAAUUCAGACAAACUCCGAAUGCCAAUUAAUUUAACUUGGGAGUCAGAACAUGGGUGAUAAGGUCCGUGUUCGAAAGGGAAACAGCCCAGACCACCAGCUAAGGUCCCAAAAUAUAUGUUAAGUGGAAAAGGAUGUGGCGUUGCCCAGACAACUAGGAUGUUGGCUUAGAAGCAGCCAUCAUUUAAAGAGUGCGUAAUAGCUCACUAGUCGAGUGACACUGCGCCGAAAAUGUACCGGGGCUAAACAUAUUACCGAAGCUGUGGAUUGUCCUUUGGACAAUGGUAGGAGAGCGUUCUAAGGGCGUUGAAGCAUGAUCGUAAGGACAUGUGGAGCGCUUAGAAGUGAGAAUGCCGGUGUGAGUAGCGAAAGACGGGUGAGAAUCCCGUCCACCGAUUGACUAAGGUUUCCAGAGGAAGGCUCGUCCGCUCUGGGUUAGUCGGGUCCUAAGCUGAGGCCGACAGGCGUAGGCGAUGGAUAACAGGUUGAUAUUCCUGUACCACCUAUAAUCGUUUUAAUCGAUGGGGGGACGCAGUAGGAUAGGCGAAGCGUGCGAUUGGAUUGCACGUCUAAGCAGUAAGGCUGAGUAUUAGGCAAAUCCGGUACUCGUUAAGGCUGAGCUGUGAUGGGGAGAAGACAUUG